GUGGGGAAUUUUGGACAAUGGGCGCAAGCCUGAUCCAGCAAUGCCGCGUGCAGGAAGAAGGCCUUCGGGUUGUAAACUGCUUUUGUACGGAACGAAACGGUCCUGGUUAAUACCUGGGGCUAAUGACGGUACCGUAAGAAUAAGCACCGGCUAACUACGUGCCAGCAGCCGCGGUAAUACGUAGGGUGCGAGCGUUAAUCGGAAUUACUGGGCGGAAAGCGUGCGCAGGCGGUGCUGUAAGACAGGCGUGAAAUCCCCGGGCUCAACCUGGGAAUUGCGCUUGUGACUGCAGUGCUGGAGUACGGCAGAGGGGGAUGGAAUUCCGCGUGUAGCAGUGAAAUGCGUAGAUAUGCGGAGGAACACCGAUGGCGAAGGCAGUCCCCUGGGCCUGUACUGACGCUCAUGCACGAAAGCGUGGGGAGCAAACAGGAUUAGAUACCCUGGUAGUCC
This 450-nucleotide ribosomal RNA is filed under the name uncultured bacterium. RNAcentral describes it as "partial 16S ribosomal RNA". It matches the Rfam family "Bacterial small subunit ribosomal RNA", at positions 354 to 796 of the family's 1533-position model. The record is from RNAcentral.